GAUGAACUUAAGGAUGUUUCAUUAAUCCUUGUAUGUGCCCAUCGAAAUUGAUAAAGAAGCAUGCCAGCAUUUUUUAUCCUUGCAUGUUCCUAUGUCCCUAGAAACACACUAUCCAUUCCUUCUGAUUUGAAAAUGUGCAAUAUAAAUUGAUCCUUUUUCUAUUUUAAUCGUUCGUUCUAAGACACCAGGUCCCAUGUACUGAAUAGAGAACAUUCAAACUAGUCCCCCCAA
Molecule: long non-coding RNA, 231 nt
Filed under: Mytilus galloprovincialis (Mediterranean mussel)
Lineage: Eukaryota; Metazoa; Mollusca; Bivalvia; Mytilida; Mytilidae
Source: RNAcentral